This 412-nucleotide ribosomal RNA is filed under the name uncultured prokaryote. RNAcentral's name for it is "bacterial SSU rRNA". It matches the Rfam family "Bacterial small subunit ribosomal RNA", at positions 505 to 918 of the family's 1533-position model. The record is from RNAcentral.
GUGUCAGCAGCCGCGGUAAUACGUAGGGUGCGAGCGUUAAUCGGAAUUACUGGGCGUAAAGCGUGCGCAGGCGGUUUUGUAAGACAGAUGUGAAAUCCCCGGGCUUACCUGGGACCUGCAUUUGUGACUGCAAGGCUAGAGUACGGUAGAGGGGGAUGGAAUUCCGCGUGUAGCAGUGAAAUGCGUAGAUAUGCGGAGGAACACCGAUGGCGAAGGCAAUCCCCUGGACCUGUACUGACGCUCAUGCACGAAAGCGUGGGGAGCAAACAGGAUUAGAUACCCUGGUAGUCCACGCCCUAAACGAUGUCAACUGGUUGUUGGGUCUUCACUGACUCAGUAACGAAGCUAACGCGUGAAGUUGACCGCCUGGGGAGUACGGCCGCAAGGUUGAAACUUAAAGGAAUUGACGGGG